GCCCCGGUGGCGAAAUCGGUAGACGCAGCAGACUUAAAAUCUGCAGCUUCGGUUAAACGGGCGUGCCGGUUCAAGUCCGGCCCGGGGCACCA
This 92-nucleotide transfer RNA is filed under the name Pseudobdellovibrionaceae bacterium. RNAcentral describes it as "Bdellovibrionaceae bacterium (activated sludge metagenome) tRNA-Leu". It matches the Rfam family "tRNA". From Rfam's summary of the family: Transfer RNA (tRNA) molecules are approximately 80 nucleotides in length. Their secondary structure includes four short double-helical elements and three loops (D, anti-codon, and T loops). The record is from RNAcentral. Lineage: Bacteria; Pseudomonadati; Bdellovibrionota; Bdellovibrionia; Bdellovibrionales; Pseudobdellovibrionaceae.